RNAcentral lists this ribosomal RNA (447 nucleotides) under Streptococcus sanguinis. RNAcentral describes it as "bacterial SSU rRNA". It matches the Rfam family "Bacterial small subunit ribosomal RNA", at positions 28 to 465 of the family's 1533-position model. Lineage: Bacteria; Bacillati; Bacillota; Bacilli; Lactobacillales; Streptococcaceae. The record is from RNAcentral.
GACGAACGCUGGCGGCGUGCCUAAUACAUGCAAGUAGAACGCUGAAGAGAGGAGCUUGCUCUUCUUGGAUGAGUUGCGAACGGGUGAGUAACGCGUAGGUAACCUGCCUGGUAGCGGGGGAUAACUAUUGGAAACGAUAGCUAAUACCGCAUGACAUUGAUUAUCGCAUGAUAAUUGAUUGAAAGAUGCAAUUGCAUCACUACCAGAUGGACCUGCGUUGUAUUAGCUAGUUGGUGAGGUAACGGCUCACCAAGGCGACGAUACAUAGCCGACCUGAGAGGGUGAUCGGCCACACUGGGACUGAGACGCGGCCCAGACUCCUACGGGAGGCAGCAGUAGGGAAUCUUCGGCAAUGGGGGGAACCCUGACCGAGCAACGCCGCGUGAGUGAAGAAGGUUUUCGGAUCGUAAAGCUCUGUUGUAAGAGAAGAACGGGUGUGAGAGUGGA